This 461-nucleotide ribosomal RNA is filed under the name uncultured bacterium. RNAcentral's name for it is "partial 16S ribosomal RNA". It matches the Rfam family "Bacterial small subunit ribosomal RNA", at positions 339 to 795 of the family's 1533-position model. The record is from RNAcentral.
CUACGGGUUGCUGCAGUCGAGAAUCUUCCGCAAUGGACGAAAGUCUGACGGAGCGACGCCGCGUGCGGGAUGAAGGCCUUCGGGUUGUAAACCGCUGUCAGUGGGGAGGAAAUGCAUCAGGGUUCUCCCUGGUGUUUGACCGAUCCGCAGAGGAAGCGCAGGCUAAGUUCGUGCCUGCAGCCGCGGUAACACGAACUGCGCGAACGUUAUUCGGAAUCACUGGGCUUAAAGAGUUCGUAGGCGGCCUUUCAAGUCGGGUGUGAAAUCCCUCGGCUCAACCGAGGAAUUGCGCCUGAUACUGUUGGGCUUGAGGGGGAGAGGGGUGGGCGGAACUGAUGGUGGAGCGGUGAAAUGCGUUGAUAUCAUCAGGAACACCGGUGGCGAAGGCGGCUCACUGGAUCUCUUCUGACGCUGAGGAACGAAAGCUAGGGGAGCGAACGGGAUUAGAUACCCCCGUAGUC